CUCUGAAAAAACCUGUUUGAGUGUUACAGUGGGACUCCACACCAGUCUCACCUCCUUCUUCUUUUCCUUUCAUAUUCUUCAGAUWUUUGUCCUCAGUGGCUCACCUGGAAAAGAAACCAGGCACCAGACCUUAAGAUGAAAGCCUUGCUAGGUAUCACACAAAACUUCUGAUAUGGACAGCCAACUUUACAUUUUAAAAAAGCAACCAACAUGCUCUCACUGUGGGAGACUGGAGGCCAGCUGUUCUUUCUACUUCAAGAUUAGAGAGUGUCCUUACAUGUCUUCUGGAUUUGGCUAGCAUACGUAAGGAACAGAGUUAUCCUAAUUCAGAAUCCAAAGCUUUGCCCACAAGAUUUUACCCAAAGAGAAGUCACAUUUGCAGGCCACAAUAGAUCAAAUGAGUUUGAAAGAACUAAAGAACCAAUAAUGACCCUCAGUCAAAGUUUAUUUUUCAGUAUUAAGCUUCCUACAAAGAUUUACAAAACAUCCAGCCUCCCCAUAGAAUAAAAAUAAAUUCAUAAAGCA
RNAcentral lists this long non-coding RNA (525 nucleotides) under Dromaius novaehollandiae (emu). RNAcentral's name for it is "lncRNA (ENSDNVG00000018420.1)". The record is from RNAcentral. Lineage: Eukaryota; Metazoa; Chordata; Aves; Casuariiformes; Dromaiidae.